This 323-nucleotide ribosomal RNA is filed under the name uncultured eukaryote. Its description in RNAcentral is "partial 18S ribosomal RNA". It matches the Rfam family "Eukaryotic small subunit ribosomal RNA", at positions 1470 to 1796 of the family's 1831-position model. The record is from RNAcentral.
CCCUUAGAUGUUCUGGGCUGCACGCGUGCUACACUGAUAUUACCAAUAUGUCAUUCUUAUCCGAAAUGGAUUGGGUAAUCAAGUAAUGAAAUUUCAUGCUUGGAAUCGGUAAUUGCAAUUUUAUCGUGAACGAGGAAUUCCUAGUAAGCACUAGUCAUCAGCUAAUGUUGAUUAUGUCCCUGCCCUUUGUACACACCGCCCAUCGCUACUACUGAUUGGGUGUUCAAGUGAGAUGCUUAGACCCUUGUUGCAUGGUUCAUUAUUGUGCUCCGAAAGGAAAAAGUUUCAAGCUUGAGUGUCUAGAGGAAGUAAAAGUCGUAACA